Molecule: ribosomal RNA, 492 nt
Filed under: uncultured bacterium
Lineage: Bacteria
Description: partial 16S ribosomal RNA
Rfam family: Bacterial small subunit ribosomal RNA
Source: RNAcentral
AGUGAACGCCGGCGGUAGGCCUAACACAUGCAAGUCGAACGGCAGCACAGUAAGAGCUUGCUCUUACGGGUGGCGAGUGGCGGACGGGUGAGGAAUACAUCGGAAUCUACUUUUUCGUGGGGGAUAACGUAGGGAAACUUACGCUAAUACCGCAUACGACCUACGGGUGAAAGCAGGGGAUCUUCGGACCUUGCGCGAUUGAAUGAGCCGAUGUCGGAUUAGCUAGUUGGCGGGGUAAAGGCCCACCAAGGCGACGAUCCGUAGCUGGUCUGAGAGGAUGAUCAGCCACAUGGGAACUGAGACACGGUCCAGACUCCUACGGGAGGCAGCAGUGGGGAAUAUUGGACAAUGGGCGCAAGCCUGAUCCAGCCAUACCGCGUGGGUGAAGAAGGCCUUCGGGUUGUAAAGCCCUUUUGUUGGGAAAGAAAAGCAGCAGGUUAAUACCCCGCUGUUCUGACGGUACCCAAAGAAUAAGCACCGGCUAACUUCGUG